Molecule: ribosomal RNA, 400 nt
Filed under: uncultured bacterium
Lineage: Bacteria
Description: bacterial SSU rRNA
Rfam family: Bacterial small subunit ribosomal RNA
Source: RNAcentral
GGGGAAUCUUAGACAAUGGGGGAAACCCUGAUCUAGCCAUGCCGCGUGAUCGAUGAAGGCCUUAGGGUUAUAAAGAUCUUUCAGUGGGGAAGAUAAUGACUGUACCCACAGAAGAAGCCCCGGCUAACUCCGUGCCAGCAGCCGCGGUAAUACGGAGGGGGCUAGCGUUGUUCGGAAUUACUGGGCGUAAAGCGCACGUAGGCGGACCGGAAAGUCAGAGGUGAAAUCCCAGGGCUCAACCUUGGAACUGCCUUUGAAACUCCCGGUCUUGAGUUCGAGAGAGGUGAGUGGAAUUCCGAGUGUAGAGGUGAAAUUCGUAGAUAUUCGGAGGAACACCAGUGGCGAAGGCGGCUCACUGGCUCGAUACUGACGCUGAGGUGCGAAAGCGUGGGGAGCAAAC